UUUCUUGUGAGAGAAAUCAACAUGGGACAACAAUACGUCUACGACGAAUGUGUCGAUGAUCACGACAGUCCUCCUCCGACCUCCGUUCGCCAGUCUUAAUAAGUUAAGCGCAAUGCGAAGUGUCGCCAUUUCCUUUGCCAUCAUUGGGAGGUCAUCUGAACAUUGGGUGCUUGUCUUGAGACGCUGAAGGCACACAAGAUCAUGGAGACAGGAAUAAGAAAGAGCGAUGACGACGCCAGGAACCAGCCAAUCCAAUAGGCCCACCAAGGAUAUACAUACGUGUUGUUGAACUUGAGUGGCGUGUAUUUCAGCAACAAGAACACGAGUGUUCCCUUCAAAAAGAGACAAAAAGUCGCAUGAAAUGUAAUGAAAUAAAAACAUACAUAUGAGUCGACUGUUUUUUGU
Corythoichthys intestinalis (scribbled pipefish) is the source of this 405-nucleotide long non-coding RNA. RefSeq lists it as uncharacterized. Lineage: Eukaryota; Metazoa; Chordata; Actinopteri; Syngnathiformes; Syngnathidae. The transcript is spliced from 3 exons. The record is from RefSeq and is a predicted model, not a curated record.